AACACCCCCUCUCCAUCAGAGGGAACCCAGGACCUAGAUGUCCUUAGCCUCAAGUCCUCCUGGCACAGAAGAGGGAGGCGGGGCCACAGCUUAUGCUGGGUCUCUGAUUCCUCUGGGGCAACCCAGGCCGGACACGGGGCCAGUCCCUCCCUCCAGACAGAGGCCAGACGGGGGCAGCCGGUAAGGGCGAGGGCCUCUGGGGGCAUCAACUGAGUCAGCCCCACCCAUCCCCCAUGACCUCCUGCAAGAUCCAGAACCAAUCCCCACCUCCCCCUCUCGCCGGAGCCCCCAGAGCCCCACCACUGGGUGGGGGUGCAUGUCGGCCGAUCGCGGUCCCCAGAACCCCCAAAUGGAGGCCAAGGCAGGAGGGUGAUAGGAAGAGAAUCGCCCAGGCGUGGAGGGGGUCCCCGGCGCUGCGUGCAGAUUGUUACCUUCUGUGACCCCCACAACCCGCUCCCAGAUGGGUGUUGAGAAAUCUCCGCCUCCAGUCCAAUUCGCUUCCCUGGGGCCACAUCAAGCCAGGUUUUUCCACCAGUCAGAAGACCUCCUCGGCCAAACAGUACUGGAUCUCCCAGGCUGGCAACAACUUCUAUUCAUCCACCCCUUUCUCCGCUCCCCUCCCUCCAACUCUGGGCUGGAGGGUUGGUCUCUUUCUUUACUUUCUCAGGACCCUGCUGUACUCUUCCUGCUCUCCAGACAGAAGACAUCUUUCCCAGGAAGCCUGGGGAAGCACCCAGUUCCUUCUUUUAGCUCCUGCCAGUGUGCUCUGAGAAGUUCAGUCACCUUUACAGGAAUGGGUGUGUGACCAAGCCCAGAACCCUGGGGGAGAGGGGAGCAUCACAUCAGCUGUUCUCCAUGGCCCCCCAACAGCUGAACUCCCACAAAACUGGGAGUAAGUUUUCCAUUCCCAUGCACACCCCUCACAACCUUUUAAGUUCACAGCUAUCUAUCUAGAAACCCACAUUCUUAGUUAGGGGUCCAACAUCUUAAAGGUCAGAUCUGGUCUCCACACCCGUAAGCACAGGGUUCCUCAGAAAGGGGGUGGGGGGAGGCAUGUCUGUGAAGGAAAGUGGAUUCAAUAACUUAUUUCCUAUAUAGUGACAGCAGUGGGAGUAAAUACACAAGAUCUUUAUUAAUUAAUAAAACAAAAAAGAGGAAAACAGAAGCAACAAAACGAAGACCAUACUGCUCAUGAUACAUCAGCCACAUGGUCAGAAAACCAAUUUCUAAAGAGCGACAGCUGCUGGUGUCAUGGAGUUUUAUUGCAUUUAACAGGGGAAAGGUAGAUGGUUGGAAUGAAAAAGAUGAGCAGGCCUCUGAUAGGAAGAUAUUAUAGGGGCUCUAAUCCUUAACUGUGGACUCCUCUUGUUACUUCCUUUGGAGCAAAAGAUGGGAGAGGAGAGAGGAAUUCUCCUUUAUGACUAUAUGACUUCUUGUGAGACAGAUCAGUCCACCUAGAUACAAAGAAUCCUUGCAUCCCCACAGGCCAGUUGCUAGUGCUCAUCUUUAUGUUAAAAUAAA
Molecule: long non-coding RNA, 1521 nt
Organism: Lutra lutra (Eurasian river otter)
Lineage: Eukaryota; Metazoa; Chordata; Mammalia; Carnivora; Mustelidae
Exons: 3
Source: RefSeq, a predicted model, not a curated record